Molecule: long non-coding RNA, 1080 nt
Organism: Cornus florida
Lineage: Eukaryota; Viridiplantae; Streptophyta; Magnoliopsida; Cornales; Cornaceae
Exons: 4
Source: RefSeq, a predicted model, not a curated record
ACCUCUUCCACCGUCACAACUCACAAAGCUCUUCAGUUCUUCACCUCUUAUGUUCUUCUCAACGUCGGCCUACUCUACGACCUAAUAGCAACCUUUGGAAGGUUUCUUCCGUUUCUAGCCAAGCCAACCUCCUAAUCUCAGUAGAGCCAAGCAAAAGUUUAUUCGUACUUUUCCUGUUUACCAUUUUUCAUGAUCCUCACCCUAGUUUUUUCGAGGGUUAUGAAAUUGCAAAAGGGGGUAAACUACAAAUCUAAAAAAGGCUUGUCGUCUGAGUCUGAAUUGCUGUUGGAAAUCAUACAGGUUGUUUGAACUUUCUAUCUUUUUGGUUCAAAGGACUCAUCUGCUUCUUCAUCUUCUAGGAUUUUCGGCUCUAUCUUUGCACCUUCGUCUCAGCUUGCAAACAGAAUUAUGGACACUUCUGAGGCACCAAUGCGUAGAAUAUUAAGGUCCAGCGUGGCUCAAACUCGAACUGAGACACCAUUUAUAAGUUUAGCUGCCACACAACCGAGGGGAGAAGCUGAUGGUAGUAAUUCAAUAAGUCAACAGCCUAUUAUGGAAGGUGUUGGUAAUACUUUGCAGACGAGGCCACAACUAAGUAGAGGCCCAGUACGAAAAGGGCAUGGAAAAGUAAAGAAUAUAGCCCUACACAAAGCUAAGGAACUCUAUGGAAAGGAUGUUCCAAUUCCGGUAGAGUUUGGGACGGGUUAUAUUAAACCCGUUGGCAAAAUCACAAUUUAUGAACGGCUGAGGUUGGCAUCCAUGAGAGAGAUAAAGAAGCGCUAUUGAAAUAUAAAACGUGGAGGGAAAUUCCAGAUUAUGAGAGACAGGUCUGCUAUGACCAUUUUAAGGUGACCUUUGGAGUGGAUGCACAUGACAAUGAAACUGAUUUCAAGCGAGUAACUACGGAAAUAUCGGAACGUUUGAGGAAAUAUAGAUAUUGUGACGACCCUGGUUUUUAGGCCAGCGUGUCCUGUGAUGAACCGUAAGGAUGAUCCGAUAACGGAUCCGAAUGCGGAAGCAAAAACAGAAAACAAGACUCUAAGAAGACAAAGUGACCUUCCAUAAGGUCGUGAAACUCAA